UAGGGAAUCUUCCGCAACGGACGCAAGUCUGACGGAGCAACGCCGCGUGAGUGAAGAAGGAUUUCGGUUCGUAAAACUCUGUUGUUAGAGAAGAACAGCGCAUAGAGUAACUGUUAUGCGUGUGACGGUAUCUAACCAGAAAGCCACGGCUAACUACGUGCCAGCAGCCGCGGUAAUACGUAGGUGGCAAGCGUUGUCCGGAUUUAUUGGGCGUAAAGCGAGCGCAGGCGGUCAAUUAAGUCUGAUGUGAAAGCCCCCGGCUCAACCGGGGAGGGUCAUUGGAAACUGGUUGACUUGAGUGCAGAGGAGGGGAGUGGAAUUCCAUGUGUAGCGGUGAAAUGCGUAGAUAUAUGGAGGAACACCAGUGGCGAAGGCGACUCUCUGGUCUGUAGCUGACGCUGAGGCUCGAAAGCGUGGGUAGCAAACAGG
RNAcentral lists this ribosomal RNA (429 nucleotides) under Bacteroidota bacterium. RNAcentral describes it as "Bacteroidetes bacterium partial 16S ribosomal RNA". It matches the Rfam family "Bacterial small subunit ribosomal RNA", at positions 355 to 776 of the family's 1533-position model. Lineage: Bacteria; Pseudomonadati; Bacteroidota. The record is from RNAcentral.